Durio zibethinus is the source of this 4477-nucleotide non-coding RNA. Lineage: Eukaryota; Viridiplantae; Streptophyta; Magnoliopsida; Malvales; Malvaceae. The record is from RefSeq and is a predicted model, not a curated record.
ACCACAAAUCAAGAUAUUGGAAAAUUGUCAAAAGAUUCAAAACUUUUAUUUAUUUUAUAAAAAUCUAAUUUAGAAAAUUUGCGGUUGUUUUGUUGGUAAAAAAAAAAAACUGAUAUUUUCCAUCUUUACCAUUUUUCCAACGCGUGGGCCGUGGCCCGUGGGGCACCCAAAUUGUCAGUGAAAAAAGAAAUUGCGUCAGGAAACUGAAAACAAUCAAUCGUGACCGUCAGAUUUCUGUCUCAGUUUUUUCCUCAUCGGCAUGGAAAAUAAAUUAUUUAUCUGAAACUGUCGCUGAAAUCUUUUGUAGGUUAAUUACUUUCUUCUACUUUUAGCGGCGCCUGUGAAUCCAUGACCGUCGCGAUUAUCAUCUAAACUCUACUCUCGCUCUCACUUCAGCACUGAUGGCAUCCCCUAACCUCCUUUCUCUGUUUCACUUGCAUUUCAUAAGACGAAGUGCACAACCAUGAGCUGAAACUUAAAGAAUCGGCUUUUUGUAACGACAUUUGAAGCGAAAAGAGUUAAGUGUUUGAAGCUUUUAAGUAGCUGAAAGAGAAUGAGGACGAAGCGAAAACGAGCAUGCAGGAAACCUCCAGCCAAAAGAUCAGCGGCAUUGGCCAAAAAUGAAAAAGCAGUGAACCAAAGUGAAAAGGCACAGAGCCAAAAUGAAAAAGCAGUAAGCCAAAAUGAGGAAGCAUUUUUAACUUUUAUUAACCAAAAUAACAAAGAAGGUUCGGUGUCUGCGGACUCAAAUGAUUUGGAAGUAGUUGAUAAACAUGAUUCUGAUGAUGCCAAGAGUAGUUCGUCGUCGUCAUCGUCCUCUUCAAGUGACAGUAAUGAGUCAUUUAGCGCUGAAGAAACUAAAUCUGAUGACUCAUCAUCGGUUGAUAGGAGAUAUAGGAAAUCAACUAAGGGGCACAGUAAUGGAAAGCAGAAAGCAAGUAAAUUGCCAAAGAAAGAGAAGAAAGAUGAUGUUAAGUCGUCUAGGGUGUUGCGUUCUUCUAGUAAAAAGCAAGAAGAGUUUAAAAUGCCUCAGCAUGAUCCUCGCUACAAUAAGAAAGAACUGAAAGCUGCAUUGGAGGUGAUUAAGAAAAUUAUGAAGAUGGAUGAGGCUCAAUCAUUCAAUGUUCCUGUAGAUCAUGUUGCUUUGGGAAAACCUGAUUAUCCUAAUGUAAUAGAUACACCGAUGGAUUUUGGUACAAUAUGUAGUAAUUUAGAAAAUAGCAUAAAGUACAUGAACUCAGAAGAUGUGUUUAAUGAUGUACAAUACAUUUGGGAGAACUGCUGCAAGUGCAACAAGAAGGGAGAGUAUAUAGUGUAUCUAAUGAAACGAGUGAAGAAAAAGUUCAUGAAGUACUGGACAGCCGCUGGCUUGAGGAUUGAACAAUCAAGAAAGAUUAAUGUGGGAAUUUUGUAUGAACCAUCUAUGACAGACCAUGCGACAUGGCACAGCAGACAUGAGCCCUUCUAUCCAGUGGGCAAUGCAGUAGAUGGUGCCAGUCAGCUGCAGCAGGAUCAUUCGGGCUUCAAUCAGCACCAUCCAUUCUUGCCUCCAUUAAGCUAUAGCCAACCUCAUCAAUUACCGCAACCUCCACCAAGCACUGCAUGGCCACAGUUCUCCCAGUUGCCUCCAGUGAGUUAUCAUCAACCUUGUCAAUCACAGCAUCCCCAGCCAAGCACCAACCAGCCACAAUUCUCCCAAUUACAAGCUUGCACAGGAUGUAACAGUGCAGGAAAUUCUCAUUUUCAGCCACCUAACGACAUAGCCUCAAAACAUAAAAAGCAUGCAUCUUCAUUAAAACACAAAAAGAAUGCAUCUAUGGCUCCUGCAGCUUCAAUAUGCGGUGGUGCACCCAGUCAUACCCACUUACAACAGCCCCAGUUGAGCCACAAGCAGCCAUAUGGUUUGCAGCAGCAGUCCGGCAUCAGCCAGCUACAACCCUCUCAAUUGCAUGCUGUUGCAGAUGGUGGAUAUUCACAUUUUCAGCCUCCUGUAGACAUAACCCCAAAAAAUAAAAAGCAUGCAUCUAAAUCGAAACACAAAAAGAACCCAUCUAUGGGUCCCACAGCCUCCAUUUACGGUGGGCCACCCAGCCAUUCGCAUUCACAACAGCCCCAGUUGAGCUACAAACUGCCGUAUGGUCUGCCGCAGCACCAGCAGAGCAUCAGCCAGCUACAACCCUCUCAAUUGCAUGCUGUUGCUGAUGGUGAUUAUACAAGGUCCAGUGGGUAUGUGCCCUGGUAUCCAGUGGAUCCCAUGGUUGUUGGCCCUGGCCAAUCACAUCCCCAACAAUCCCCAUUGAGCAAUGGCGAAUCUAGUGAACCACAGCAACCUCAACCGCAGGCAAGCCGUUGCCAGCCUCAGUCAUCCCAGCUGCAGGAAAAUGUAGAUAUUGAACCUUCACACAUGUCACUUACGGAUUCUGCCUUGAAGGGUAUUAGAUGUGCACUUAAGUAUUCUUCUGGCCCCACAACCAACAAAUCUAUCCAAGAAAAUCAGGCUCAGUCAGGUCCCAUCGAACUACAGCCUGAGCAGACCCCACAGAGACAGCUCCCCAAAAAGAAGAAGAAAGGAAGAGGUCCCACUCGCUGCCUCUUCUUGAAUGACCUGGCAGAUGGUGAGCGGAUAGUUGUCUGUUUCAACAACCUUGGACAGCCUAUUGGUCCUGAGUCAUCCAAGCUAAGCAGCUUCCUGGGCACUAUAGCACGGAAUGGACACAGGGCACCCCUCAAUUUUGUUCACUGGAGGGCAAUGCCAGAUUCUUACAAAGAGGAAAUGUGGGAAUAUGUUCAGACAAAGUUUGACCUUGAUCCAAGUGGCAAGUCUUGGGUCAUGCAGUCUCUUGGUACAAAAUGGAGGGACUGGAAGGCAGAUCUAAAGGCGGCAUAUUAUGAUUCUCUUGAGACAGAUGAAGAGCGCUUGAAGGUACAAGAUCCAAGGGUUGUUCCUGACCAAUGGCCAAGUCUUAUCUCAUAUUGGAACUCUGAUGACACAAAGAAGCGUUGUGCUACAAAUAGGGCUAACCGUUUAAAACAGAAGGGUUCACAUUCAUCAGGGACUAAGAGUUAUGCAAGGAUACGAGAGGAGGAGCAAAACAAGAGGCCUGAUGGGAAGGAGCCAACUAGAGCUGAGCUUUAUAUAUUAACACAUACACGUAAGAAUGGACAGCCAGUUGAUGAGACUGCAGCAGAAUUUAUUUUGAAGAUCCGUGAACAAGAAGCUAACAAACGGAUUACCUUACAAUGUAGUGAUGAAUCAAAUGACACCUUGUGUCAAGUUAUGGGAGCAGAAAAACACAACCGUGUGCGAACUUAUGGACUGGGUCCCACUCGUGCUGAUGUUUUUGGCCCAAGACCUAGCCGUGAUGACCUUGUGAUGAUUGCUUCUGAGGCCAAAAAGUCAGCAAAUGAAGAGGUGCGCAAGAUGGUAGUGAAAAUGGAGGCUAUGGAGGAAAAAUAUGCACGUAUGGAAACCCACAUAGCUCGAAUGACUUCAAACAUGGAGAAGUUUCUUGAGAAGAUCGGCGGAUCUUCAAAUAUUUUGGGUUUUGAACAGUGUGUAAGAAAAGACCAAUUUUUGUUCAGACAAAUGAAGGGAAAAAGAGCCCACAAGAAAGGAAACAAAGUUAAACCCAAUGCUGCUGUGGUAGCUCCAAUUGAUGCAGCUGUGAAUGUUGAGUGUAAAUAGUGAAGACAAUUCUGUUAAUGAUGAAUAUGAGUCUGGAAUGGAAGUUGAUACUCCAUCAACCGGAACCGAUCAGACAAUGAUAUUAUCUGUACACUUUCAACUGCAUUGGGAAAGCGUGAGACAAAUGCUCGAAUGGCUAAAGGUCAGACUGGAGUUCAGGAGCUCCAGCAAGAGGAAUCUUCAUCUGUUGAUAGUCCUUAUGGUGAGGAUUCAUCUUUAAAUAUGGAUGAAUCAAUGGACCCAGAUGCAGAUGCUGAGGUCGAAGGUGAAGGAGAGAAGCUUGAAGUGGAGAUGUCUGAGCAGCAGUAUAGCCAUAUGGAGGAGAGGCAUAAGGAAGAGAAUGAGAUAAAGACUAUGAACAAAUGUGAAGGUGAAACGAAAGAGCAAUCACAAUUCGGAGAUAGAUUGUCAGAGGUGCCUAGUAGAAAUCUCAGCCUGAAAUAGUGGAGAAGUCCGGUGCGGUAGCCCUAAAUCAGAAAGGAUCUACUCCAGCACAAAAUGAGGAAGAAAGUAAAGCAGUUCAGCAACAGAGCCACAAGGAGUCACAAGAAAGACAACAAAGACCUAAGAUGUUGGAGAGUUUCUGCUUUGAAAAUCUCAAGCUCCUUAAUUUAUGUGGAAUUCUCUUUCCUGACAAUCAGACGUCUGUUUGGAGUGGCCUUCAUUCAUUGGUCAGAAUCGGGGUUCUAGAACUACUCCAAUUCAUGCAGCUAUUGGAACUUAUAUGAAGUAGAUUCACUUUAAGCAGAUGAACGCCAUCGUCUCAAGGGCUGGAAGUUGAAGGUGGUGGAG